GCGACUGUGGCUCAGUAGGAAGAGUAGUUGUCUUGCAAUCAGAAGGUUGUGGGUUCAAUGUGCCCCUGGGCAAGGCA
Characodon lateralis is the source of this 77-nucleotide non-coding RNA. Lineage: Eukaryota; Metazoa; Chordata; Actinopteri; Cyprinodontiformes; Goodeidae. The record is from the annotation of a GenBank genome assembly.